RNAcentral lists this ribosomal RNA (301 nucleotides) under uncultured bacterium. RNAcentral's name for it is "partial 16S ribosomal RNA". It matches the Rfam family "Bacterial small subunit ribosomal RNA", at positions 509 to 807 of the family's 1533-position model. The record is from RNAcentral.
CAGUCGCCGCGGGAAUACGCAGGUGGCAAGCGUUGUCCGGAAUUAUUGGGCGUAAAGGGCUCGCAGGCGGUUUCUUAAGUCUGAUGUGAAAGCCCCCGGCUCAACCGGGGAGGGUCAUUGGAAACUGGGAAACUUGAGUGCAGAAGAGGAGAGUGGAAUUCCACGUGUAGCGGUGAAAUGCGUGGAGAUGUGGAGGAACACCAGUGGCGAAGGCGACUCUCUGGUCUGUAACUGACGCUGAGGAGCGAAAGCGUGGGGAGCGAACAGGAUUAGAUACCCGAGUAGUCCCUGUCUCUUAUAC